AUCGCUUCUCGGCCUUUUGGCUCAGAUCAAGUGUAGUAUCUGUUCUUAUCAGUUUAAUAUCUGAUACGUCCCCAUCGGGGGACUACAUAUUAAAUGGAUUUUUCGAACAGGGAGUCGGAAAUGGGGCUUGCUCCGUCCGCUCCACGCAUCGACCCGGUAUUGCAGUACCUCCGGGAAUGGUGCAACACUU
RNAcentral lists this small nuclear RNA (190 nucleotides) under Salmo salar (Atlantic salmon). Its description in RNAcentral is "U2 spliceosomal RNA (multiple genes)". It matches the Rfam family "U2 spliceosomal RNA". From Rfam's summary of the family: U2 is a small nuclear RNA (snRNA) component of the spliceosome (involved in pre-mRNA splicing). Complementary binding between U2 snRNA (in an area lying towards the 5' end but 3' to hairpin I) and the branchpoint sequence (BPS) of the intron results the bulging out of an unpaired adenosine, on the BPS, which initiates a nucleophilic attack at the intronic 5' splice site, thus starting the first of two transesterification reactions that mediate splicing. Lineage: Eukaryota; Metazoa; Chordata; Actinopteri; Salmoniformes; Salmonidae. The record is from RNAcentral.